CAGAGAAAAAUCAUAAAAUGGAAAAUCCAAUUUUUUGGACUCCACAUAAGUAGAUCUACGUAGUAAACACAUAAUAUGGUAUGCUUUAGUACAAACUUUUUGAUAUAAAGGUUUUGUCCUUUAUUUAUUUGUUUAUUUGGCUGAAUCUUUGAAAAAUCAUAGUAAAUCAUAGUAAAUCAUAAAAUAGAAAAUUUAAUUUUCUUAGACUCCACAUGAGUAUAUAUACAUAAAAAAUAAAAAGAAAAGGACAAAACCUUUAUAGCAAAAACUUUGUACUAAAGCAUACCAUAUUAUAUAUUCAUUGUGUAGAUCUACUUAUGUGGAGUCCAACAAAAUUGGAUUUUAUAUUUUCUGAUUUUUUUCUGUGAUUUACUAUGAUUUUUCAAAUAUUCAGCCGAAAUAAUUAAAAAAGAUAAAGAUUAAACCACUAUCACUGUAGCAACCCACUAUUCCAUGUAGCAAAAAACGUCUUCGAAACCAUUUUAGGGAGGUAAAAUACACAGUUUAAAAAGUUGAAGAAGGUAGUUUGUCUGUUUUAGAGUUGAGGGAAAAAAAGUGGACUUUCGUAAAAAUUGAGAAGGAAAAUAUACUUUUUCCUUUUGAGAGGGGCCGUUGCCGCACUUUGCUAGGCCACUGGAUACCGGACCGCCAAUUCCUAUCCCCCAGCAUGGUUGGGCUACUAGGGCUCCGGCCCAAUUAUCAAAACAAAAAAAAAAGAAAAAACUACCCCAGGCUAGUGGCAAGUGCCCGCCUAUCGCCGAUGCUGCUGCUAUGCUAUACAUUUAGGCUUUUUUUUUAAGUUUCAAAAAGUUUUUAGAUUUAAUAAUUAUUGUCCAAUUAUGAAUUAAUUUGGUUUAAAAGAUUUAUUUUGCAAUUUAUAAGAAAACUAUAUAAUUACUUUUUGUUUUGUCUCUACUUAAUCUUUCCCUACUACUUAAUUACAAAAAUUUGAGUCUGCCUGCAGAAAUCUUCUACCUACCCCCUCCGUCCGUCUCGGUUAUAUUCAAAUAAGGAGUAUGUUUAUUCUUUAUUUUUUUUAUCUAUCUUUAAUAAUAAAAAAAUAAAUUUUCGGAUGUUUUUUUCAUCCAGCCCAUUCAAUUGGAUCGAACUGUCCGCUUCACUCUCUCACGUCCGGCCCACUCCCAUUCACGUCGCUCCGUCGCACCGAUAGAAAAAACAUCGUCUCCACGCAUCGUUUCUGUCGCUCCUCCCAUCUGCUGCAACACCGCUAAUCCACCCCCC
This 1242-nucleotide long non-coding RNA is filed under the name Sorghum bicolor (sorghum). Its description in RNAcentral is "long non-coding RNA (SBIC_LNC002540)". The record is from RNAcentral. Lineage: Eukaryota; Viridiplantae; Streptophyta; Magnoliopsida; Poales; Poaceae.